Molecule: non-coding RNA, 145 nt
Organism: Gossypium raimondii (Peruvian cotton)
Lineage: Eukaryota; Viridiplantae; Streptophyta; Magnoliopsida; Malvales; Malvaceae
Source: Rfam
UAGUUAAAUUUUCAACUAUUUUUACCACAAAAAAUUAGCGUAAUUGAUGGAAUAAUCGAACAAUUGCACAUGACUCACUAUGUGUAUCUCAUGUCAAUGUACAAUGACUAGUUUUUAAUAGUGGAAAUAGAUGAAAUUUUAACUG